This 253-nucleotide ribosomal RNA is filed under the name uncultured bacterium. Its description in RNAcentral is "partial 16S ribosomal RNA". It matches the Rfam family "Bacterial small subunit ribosomal RNA", at positions 524 to 776 of the family's 1533-position model. The record is from RNAcentral.
UACGAAGGGGGCUAGCGUUGCUCGGAAUCACUGGGCGUAAAGCGCACGUAGGCGGCUUCUUAAGUCAGGGGUGAAAUCCUGGAGCUCAACUCCAGAACUGCCUUUGAUACUGAGAAGCUUGAGUCCGGGAGAGGUGAGUGGAACUGCGAGUGUAGAGGUGAAAUUCGUAGAUAUUCGCAAGAACCCCAGUGGCGAAGGCGGCUCACUGGCCCGGUACUGACGCUGAGGUGCGAAAGCGUGGGGAGCAAACAGG